UCCGCUCAGGACCGCCUCCUGGGGUGUCCUGGGCACCGGGGCAGAGACGCAGGGGGAGGAAGGGGCAGGUCUCCGCGGCCUCCCAGUGCGAGCCGCGUGAGUAGGCGGAGAGGCCUGGCGCCUCCUCCCCUCUCGGGACGUGCGUCCGGGGAUCACUCCGGGUCCUGCUCCUCCCUGCCGGCGGGGGGAGAAGUGGGACAGGCGGCUGUCCUCUCCGGCUAUAAAGGGACUGGCCCUCCUGCGGCUUGCCUAGGCUCGCCUGGGCGUUCUCCCGGCUAGAGCUCCCGCUCCCCCUCCACUCGACCCUCUCGGGCCUCGGCUACUCGGGCUGCGGCGGAAGAUGGCGGCUGCAGCGGGUCACCCGGCUCGGGAGGCUCGGUCCGAAUGCUCUGAGGAGGCGCUGGCCGCUGCCUUAGCGGACGUGCCCGAACUAGCCCGACUUCUAGAAAUAGACCCGUACCUGAAGCCCUUCGCUCCGGACUUCCAGCGCAGGUAUAAGCUGUUUAGCAAGACUUUGAACAACAUUGGAGAGAACGAAGGUGGUAUUGAUAAGUUUUCCAGAGGUUAUGAAUCAUUUGGCGUCCACAAAUGUGCUGAUGGUGGUUUAUACUGCAAAGAAUGGGCCCCGGGAGCAGAGGGAGUUUUUCUUACUGGAGACUUCAAUGAUUGGAAUCCAUUUGCAUACCCAUAUAAAAAACUGGAUUUUGGAAAAUGGGAGCUGUAUAUCCCACCAAAGCAGAAUAGAUCGGUCCUAGUACCUCAUGGAUCCAAAUUAAAGGUUGUUAUUAGGAGUAAAAGUGGAGAGAUCUUGUAUCGUAUUUCACCGUGGGCGAAGUACGUGACUCGUGACAGUGAUAAUGUGAAUUAUGAUUGGAUACACUGGGAUCCAGAACACCCAUAUAAAUUUAAGCAUUCCAAACCAAAGAAGCCAAGAGGUCUACGAAUUUAUGAAUCUCAUGUGGGAAUUUCUUCCUAUGAAGGAAAAAUAGCUUCUUAUAAACAUUUUACAUGCAAUAUACUACCAAGAAUCAAAGACCUUGGAUACAAUUGCAUUCAGAUGAUGGCGAUCAUGGAACAUGCUUACUAUGCCAGUUUUGGUUACCAAAUCACAAGCUUCUUUGCAGCUUCAAGCCGUUUUGGAACGCCUGAAGAGCUGAAAGAACUGGUUGACACAGCUCACUCAAUGGGUAUUACAGUCCUCUUAGAUGUGGUACAUAGCCAUGCCUCAAAAAAUUCAGAAGAUGGAUUGAAUAUGUUUGAUGGGACAGAGUCCUGCUACUUUCAUUACGGACCUAGAGGGAAUCAUAAUCUUUGGGAUAGUCGAUUGUUUGCCUACUCCAGCUGGGAAGUUUUAAGAUUUCUUCUGUCAAACAUAAGAUGGUGGUUGGAAGAAUAUGGAUUUGAUGGAUUUCGUUUUGAUGGUGUUACAUCCAUGCUGUAUCAUCACCAUGGAAUAGGUCAGAAUUUUUCCGGUGACUACCAUGAGUAUUUUGGACUAGAAGUAGAUGAAGACGCUUUGACUUAUAUCAUGUUGGCAAAUCAUUUGGUUCACACGCUGUAUCCAGAUUCUAUAACAAUAGCUGAGGAUGUAUCAGGAAUGCCCGCUCUGUGUUUUCCAAUUUCCCUGGGAGGGGCUGGCUUUGAUUAUCGAUUAGCCAUGGCAGUUCCAGAUAAAUGGAUCCAGUUACUUAAAGAAUAUAAAGAUGAAGAUUGGAAUAUGGGCAAUAUAGUGUAUACACUCACAAACAGACGCUACCUUGAAAAGUGCAUUGCUUAUGCAGAGAGCCAUGAUCAGGCACUCGUUGGGGAUAAGACGCUGGCAUUUUGGUUGAUGGAUGCUGAAAUGUAUACCAACAUGAGUGUUCUAACCCCGUUUACUCCAGUUAUUGAUCGUGGAAUACAGCUUCAUAAAAUGAUUCGACUCAUUACUCAUGCACUCGGCGGAGAAGGCUAUCUCAAUUUCAUGGGUAAUGAAUUUGGGCAUCCUGAAUGGUUAGACUUCCCAAGGAAAGGAAAUAAUGAGAGCUACCAUUAUGCAAGAAGGCAGUUUCAUUUAACUGAUGAUGACCUUCUCCGCUAUAAGUUCCUAAAUAACUUUGACAGGGAUAUGAAUAAAUUGGAAGAAAGAUGUCAUUGGCUUUCAGCUCCACAGGCUUAUGUUAGUGAACAGCAUGAAACCAAUAAGAUCAUUGCUUUUGAGAGAGCAGGCCUUCUUUUCGUUUUCAACUUUCAUCCAAGCAACAGCUACACUGAUUACCGACUUGGAACGACAGUGCCAGGAAAGUACAAAAUUGUGCUAGAUUCAGAUGCAGCGGAAUAUGGAGGACACCAGAGACUGGACCACAAUACCGAUUUCUUUUCUAAACCUUUUGAACAUAACAACUGUCCCUAUUCUCUUUUGGUGUACAUUCCAAACCGAGUGGCCCUGGUCCUUCAGAAUGUGGACCUGCCCAACUGAAGAGAUCUGAUUUCAGCUCCAGCAAAGAAAGAUGUGCACUUUGUUUUCCCACGCUUCUUGUCCCAGAGCUUGUAAUGUCUUGAUUAUCAUGACUAAUAAGGAGUACAUGAAAGUCUAUUAAAAACUGAUUCAGUAAUGGAAGAGAUUAGCAAAAGAGACUUCCUUUUAUAGCUAAGCCUGCAUAUUAACCAUCUUUCUUAUAAGUUGAGUAAAGCCUUGAAUCUAGGUCUGACACAUGUUAUUUGCCUUAAUUUCAAAAGUACAGUAAUAGUUUGAUUUCCUGACAGCGAUGCCAGAUGAUGAUGACACACAUUAGGAAAGACUACUGAAAGCCUUCUGUAAUGCUUUUGCCCUUACAGAUGUGUUAUUAACGUUUUAGCACUGCCAUGAUUUGUGUACUGUGCCUGUUAUUGAUAAUAACAUGAUGUACAACCAUGAUGUUUUGUGUUCUAGUUUAUAAUUUCUUACCCUUGCAUUUCUUAUGUAUAAAGAGAUAUGCUAAUUUUCUAUCAUGACUCUUUAAAAAAUGACAGAUUACUUCACACCUAGAACUCAUUUUUUUGUUUGUUUGUUUUUUUGACUUCAACCUCUGUGGAAAGUCAAAAAGACCAGAGUAAUUAUAUGCUAUAUUUUCAUAUGUUGAUUGACCUUACUAUUGUGGUCUUUAGAUUUCACAGUGUAAAGUUCGAAUUUAACAAUGUAAUGUAAGUUAAUUGCCUUUGUCAAGUGUUCCCCUGCCACAAGAACAAUAAACAGAUGUUUUAGGUGUGAAACAUAAAAAUACAUGCAAAGAAAUAAAAUAUUGAGUCCAAGUAGAAUGUAAUAGUUGGAUUUUUCUUCCCUGUUGUAUCAAACAGCCUUUAUAGAACAGUUUAAUAUUUGUACUAUAUUUCACUUUACAUCUUCAUUUUUGAUUCAGUAACAUUCUCAUCAUCAUGUAGUCCAGUGGGAAGUUUUUUCUUUUUACUGGUUAAACAUUUUCAAUAAUCACAACAGAGAGAUGCAAAAUUUUACUCUGUCUGCCUUAUAAUGCUUUUUCCUCUGCUGUGUUUAUUACCAACAUCAAAAAUGAGAGUGAUCUAUCUUUGUUGGCUUUUUUAGGAUAAAUAUUUUUACUGUUUUAAUUUUUUAUGUUCUAGAAAACACGGAUGAGUACAGAUAUCUUCCCAUCAUUUUUUAAUAUUAGCAAAUAUUAGUAAUUGCUCUAUUAUCCAAAAGAGAAUUUACCCCUCAUGCUAAUGAUGCUUGAUGUUUUAGUUUAAUAUUAGCUUACUCAGAAAAUACCAUAGUUUUUAAUAAUCAAAACUUGCACUGUAAACAUUUUUCCUGGAAUGUCUCUCACUUUAUAGCACUUGAACUCUGAGGGUCACCUCCUUUCAUAUUUUCUUUUCUGUACCUUUGAUGUUUCUCACUUUGCCCUGCUCUUAGCUGAUGUAUUCAUCUCUAACAUAAAAUGAGGGAUUUAGCCACCAUGUUCCUCAAGAUCAAAAAAUAACCAGU
Molecule: RNA transcript, 3958 nt
Organism: Globicephala melas (long-finned pilot whale)
Lineage: Eukaryota; Metazoa; Chordata; Mammalia; Artiodactyla; Delphinidae
Gene: GBE1
Gene name: 1,4-alpha-glucan branching enzyme 1
Source: RefSeq, a predicted model, not a curated record